Molecule: long non-coding RNA, 1052 nt
Organism: Sus scrofa (pig)
Lineage: Eukaryota; Metazoa; Chordata; Mammalia; Artiodactyla; Suidae
Source: RefSeq, a predicted model, not a curated record
AGGGAGAGUAUGAAGAUAGCGCCUGCCCUCCAAGGUCUCUGGAAGGGACUAUAGUCUGCAGCUACUGGUAUGUUUCAUUAAAAGCCUGCCCCUCAGGCUGCAGCCAUGAUGAUAAGCUAAUAGGCCUUCUUCACAGCAAGACAGGCUUCUGGAUCUGUAGCCUAGUGCUGUGCCCUGGAGGUGGUAGCUAAGAACUCUUCCUCCUUCAGUUAAGGUCUUGUGAGACCCUCACGUGUAAGCCAGAUCCAGGUGGUGUUGAGGUGUCCUGUGGCAACACCUGCAAAAAUUGGGAUAUAGGCUCCUUUCUGGGUGAUAUGGACUAUAACAAUCCCAUGGGAGCAGAUUUGUAAGCUCCAGAGCAGGUAGUCAUGAGGUCCCCCUGCUCCUCCCGCCCCUGCUGCCCCAUGUCACAGCCACAAAGAUCUGGGCACCAGAUGCGUGUAAAAGCCCCCUUCUUGGAUAUUCUGGUGCUCUGGAGCACAGCAAAGGGAGAGUGGAAAGAUGGCCUCACCUGUUUCCAUCCCUGGAGCGUGUUCUGGCAGGUUCCUCGAGGUAUGUGUUAAAUUAGGUGCCUGCCUCUCAGGUCAGCACUUUAAACAGGUGAGCCUCCUCCACAUGAUUAACAGCUUGAUGUGCUGCCUCUGAACUGGGCCCAGGGGGGCAGGUAACCUGAUACAAGGGCCCUUUAAGAGAUGCCUCUCAGAGCGCUGCAAUUUGUGCAUCACCGGACAUGAGCUCUGUUGGUUUUCAUCAUUAGGACAUUUGGGGGCUCGUCUCUCAGGGGCAGGUCCCAAAAGGCUGUCAUAACCACGCCAGCUGCACUAGGUGUCACUGUGUGAACUUCUACUGAAUGAAAGAUGAAAAAGAAAAGAGAAGAAAGACUGACCAUUGAUGUUCUCUGUGGGUGGCAGGCAGAUUUGACAUCCUUCUUCUCCAGUGAUUUUCCAGAGUGAUGAAGCUACCUAUUAAAGAAUGCUUUUCAAAAAGCCGUAAGUACGUGACUUUCAUGCAUCUAUAAAAUGAAUAAAUCUCAAAGACGUUGUUUAAUUAAU